Molecule: transfer RNA, 66 nt
Filed under: Acanthosepion esculentum (golden cuttlefish)
Lineage: Eukaryota; Metazoa; Mollusca; Cephalopoda; Sepiida; Sepiidae
Description: Sepia esculenta (golden cuttlefish) tRNA-Pro
Source: RNAcentral
CAAGAAGUAGUUUAAUAAAAAUAUUAACAUUGGAAGUUAGGGAUUAAAAUUGUAUUUACUUUUUGA